Molecule: non-coding RNA, 255 nt
Filed under: Escherichia coli
Lineage: Bacteria; Pseudomonadati; Pseudomonadota; Gammaproteobacteria; Enterobacterales; Enterobacteriaceae
Source: RNAcentral
CUUUGCCUUUCUGCUUACCGGCGAGCCAGCCCACUUUGAUACCGAGCGGUGCAAACCAGUUGCGGAAGUUAUUGGCGUGCUGCUCGGCGAGUAAUUCGGUUGGUGCCAUCAGUGCCACCUGUUUGCCGUGGGCAAUCGCACGCAGCGCGGCGAGGGCGGCGACCAGCGUUUUACCGGAACCUACAUCGCCCUGUACCAGGCGCAUCAUCGGCACAUCCAGCGCCAUAUCAUGCUCGAUCUCCGCCACUACGCGUG